UUAUAAAAUUUAAUUUUUAAAUUAAAAAGUUUAAAUAAUUUAAAAAGACGAGAAGACCCUAUAGAGUUUUAUAAAUAAAUUAAUUAAGGUUAUUAAGAUAUUUUUAAAAUUAAAAUUAAUUUAUUUAUUUUGUUGGGGUGAUAGAAAAAUAUAUUUAACUUUUUUAAAAAUAAAAACAUUUAUAAGUGAUUAGAUGAUCCAUUAUUAUUGAUUAUAAGAAAAAAUUACCUUAGGGAUAACAGCGUAAUUUUUUUUUUUAGUUCAUAUAAUAAAAAGAGUUUGCGACCUCGAUGUUGGAUUAAGAUAAAAUUUAAAUGCAGAAG
Molecule: ribosomal RNA, 323 nt
Filed under: Carelis australis
Lineage: Eukaryota; Metazoa; Arthropoda; Insecta; Lepidoptera; Noctuidae
Description: partial 16S large subunit ribosomal RNA
Source: RNAcentral